GAUCAUGGCUCAGGAUGAACGCUAGCUACAGGCUUAACACAUGCAAGUCGAGGGGAAACGAUAUUGGAAGCUUGCUUCCGAUAGGCGUCGACCGGCGCACGGGUGAGUAACGCGUAUCCAACCUGCCCACCACUUGGGGGAUAACCUUGCGAAAGUAAGACUAAUGCCCAAUGACAUCCCACGAAGGCAUCCGAAUGGGAUUAAAGAUUUAUCGGUGAUGGAUGGGGAUGCGU
This 233-nucleotide ribosomal RNA is filed under the name uncultured bacterium. RNAcentral describes it as "partial 16S ribosomal RNA". It matches the Rfam family "Bacterial small subunit ribosomal RNA", at positions 15 to 236 of the family's 1533-position model. The record is from RNAcentral.